RNAcentral lists this ribosomal RNA (254 nucleotides) under uncultured bacterium. RNAcentral's name for it is "partial 16S ribosomal RNA". It matches the Rfam family "Bacterial small subunit ribosomal RNA", at positions 524 to 776 of the family's 1533-position model. The record is from RNAcentral.
UACGUAGGGGGCAAGCGUUGUCCGGAUUUAUUGGGCGUAAAGAGCUCGUAGGCGGUUUGGUUAGUCGGAUGUGAAAUCUCCAGGCUCAACCUGGAGGGGUCAUUCGAUACUGCCAUGACUAGAGGUCGGUAGGGGAGUGUGGAAUUCCUGGUGGAGCGGUGAAAUGCGCAGAUAUCAGGAGGAACACCCGUAGCGAAGGCGGCACUCUGGGCCGAUACUGACACUGAGGAGCGAAAGCGUGGGGAGCGAACAGG